Apis dorsata (giant honeybee) is the source of this 1500-nucleotide long non-coding RNA. RefSeq lists it as uncharacterized. The transcript has 2 exons. Lineage: Eukaryota; Metazoa; Arthropoda; Insecta; Hymenoptera; Apidae. The record is from RefSeq and is a predicted model, not a curated record.
UCGAAGGCUGCUUCACGGCUAACGAACGCUGAAAAUUUUUCGAUUGUUCGGGAGAAGCAUCGUUUACCACCAAAGAGACCAAAAAAGCAAUUUCGUUCUUCGAGACUUCAUUGUGUUCAAAUCGCCAAGAUACAAGUCUGAUUCUGAAGCACGUUAAUUAAUCGUUUAAACGUUAUAUUAAAAAGAAAAAAAAAAAACAAAAAAAGUAAUAUGAUAAAUUGAUGAUGUGCCGCUGAUGUGAGAGGAAAUUAUAUAAUUAAUCGCAAGUUUUUUCUAUGGAAAUUUAGAUUAAUUGAUUACUUCAUUAUUCAACAAUCUCAUUUCAUGGAAAAAUAUAUAUACAUAUAUUAUACAUAAAAUGAAAGAGGAUAAAAGAAGAAUGGAGGAAAGGGAAGAACAACGAUAGAAGUGAUGCUUAAAAUUUGCGAUUUGGAAACGAUCAAGUGAAUCACGUGUGUAUGUAAGUAGCUUGGAGCGGCCUUGUUAUAAUCAACAAACACCCUGCAGACAUUCGCAGAAUAUUUUUAGUCGGGUCUCGAUGCACCCGAUUCACUUGCCAGUAAUAACAUUUAAACGAAUAAAUUCUCACACUAACGUAUAUCUAUCACCGCAUGAUGUAUUUGCACAUAUCUUCGAAAUAUUAAGUAGUAGCUGUAAAAACAAAUGUUGGAGGAAAAAUGAGAGAGGGAGGAGGAGAGGAUAUUUUGAAAAGUGGAACAGUGUGACGAGAGUCGAUGCUCGAAGAGGAGGCUUCUUAACCGAACAGAAUAAUCAUAUCCAAUUGACAUUUUGAUUCUCUGAAACGAGAAAGAACUCAAGAACUCAAACGAGUUACAAUUUACUUCAUUGAACCAUGUUUAAGAUAACAAUGAUAAUUUAGCAUUACCUUGAAUAAUUUCUUUCACAUCCAUCUAUAAAUCAUGUAAUCAUAGCAUAGAAGAGCACAGUUACUUUCAAAUAUCGAGUUCCUGCUAAAUUAUCACGACAAUGUCUUGUCAAUAUUCUGUCUGUGUUCGAGAUGAGACAAGUUUUCAAAAAGAGGAAAAAAAUAAAAAAAAAAAAGGAUGAGAAAUGGCUGAAUAGAAGGAAGUCUAUAUAUAUAUAUAUAGACUUAUUCUGGUAAAUAUAAUAUUUGGAUAGUAUAAAAAAAAGAUAAAAUAUAAAAAAAACGAUCGCACCAAGUCGAUCUCAAUCGAGAUAACUUUAUGUACGUUCUAAUUAAGCUAGUGAAUUUUACGAGCGACGAUAUAUUUCAUAAAAUAUUUUUAUGAUCGACGAAAUUAUUUGAGGAGAGAAUUUAAGAAACAAAGCGAGAAGAAAGAUAAAUGACGAUUACGAUAUGCGCUUGGAUCGAGUACAGGACUUUACCUGCUUCAUUGGAACACCAAGAUUCGUUGAUUCUUACGACAUAUCCUCGUUUCCAUUGAGGAUAGGAAACUCGAAACUUCGAAACCUAUAUAAUAUUAUCUUGAUUAAUACUUAAUUUCACUUUCAUCAAGG